UCGAGCCAGUCGCUACAUUCAUGUGCUAUCCUUUUCGGGGAGAUGCUGAGGUUGAUUCACUUGCAUCAAAAAUGUCAACACUGUUUCACCUGAACUCUUCUGGAGUGGAAGAUGAGAUUAUGACAUUACAAGCAGACAUUCAGCUGAAGUCCAGAGCUCAUGGAGAGUUCUGGAACUUACUCACAGAGGAAAAGUACCCCAACGUGAGGAAAUGUGCUACCUCCUUGACUGAUUUAUUCAGCUCCACUUAUUUAUGUGAGUCAGCCUUUUCCCAUAUGAUGAUCAUUAAGUCCAAGUACCGUUCCACCAUAACUGAUGAUCAUUUGGAAGUAUGCUUGAGGCUGGCUGUCAGCAGCUACUGUCCGGACUAUGCAUCCCUGGCUGAUUCCAUUCAGUGCAAGUCAUCAGAAUAAGGUAUGACAAAAAAUGUACAUAGUUAAUUGUGUUGUGUUGUGCAAUAUGGGCUCAUGCUGUUAUGCAAGGGACAUCAACAUACAUGUUCAUAUAGAGAAUUCUCAAUAUAUUCAUGAAUAAAUAUGUUUCGCAUUUUUGUAGUAGGUAGAUCAUUUUGACUUGGUCAUUUUAAAAGUAGCUUGCAUGCUGAAAAAGUGUGAGCACCCCUGCGCUAGAGAUAGUAGGCGGCUAGUAAACAUAGACUGGUGGAUAGUCAUGUCGAUCCCUGGAGUGUCAGAGUUGGAAUUCCGCAUUGUUUCUGUGUUUUUUCCCCCCCUUCCUAUCAAGUGAUUGAACAAUGAUAACAGGUGAAAUUAAGGCUUGGCAACAUGAAAGAAGAAGAAAAAAGAUUUUGGUAUCCACCUUAUUUAACGACGUUCUAUUUCCCAUGAUUCAUAGUGGCCUGCCUGUUUUCCAUUUCCGGUGGAGUACUUUAAACAGCGGCUAGCACAUUUGCACUGCUAGCACAGAUCUUGAAGCCUACGGCAAUAGUUGCAAAAGUUAUAUAUUACAUGAGGUCAAAAUGGCAAGUGGGGCCCUAACUCACCCUCUCACUAUACUACAACCAGCUACAUAUUCUCACAUCUAACCGAUAAUGGGAAACCGUACUGGUCGUCAUGGCGGCGCGCAUGGUUUAACCUGGUAUACAUUAUGGUGUCUCAGCAUGAGUGCCCUGAUUCUCAUGCCAUGAUUUUGAAGAAGUCAUACAGCAGAAAAGACUCCGCAUGAGGACGGGCAAGCAACUGGAGUACCUGGGUGUUUGGAAUGUUGGGCAUCAAGGAGGACAGGAAGAGACCCGUUUUCAAGAUAGUGUCUCACCGCUCAGCCAGUCAUCUCCUCCGCAUCAUAAAUGAGCACAUUCGUCAAGGAAGCUCCAUCAUUUCAGAUGGAUGGAGAUCAUACCGCCGUCUUCAUGAUGAAGGUUACAAUCAUCGAACUGUUAACCAUAGAGAAUUUUUGUUGAUCCACUUACAGGUGAAUAUACACAAAACCUGGAGCAACUUUGGGGAGUGUGCAAAUCCACUAUAUGGAGACGCAGAGGAAACCGUACACAACAUAUGCUGAAAGAUCACUUAGAUGUUAUUGUGGACCUACUGGUAACCACCACAGACCUCGACCCCUGGAAAUGCUUUUCCAUGACAUACGAAAAAAAUCCGGUCUGAAAAAAAAAUCGGCAUUAUUUUUAUGACGAAGAAGUCUCAGUUAAAUUAAUUUGAUUAAGUCAGAGAUAAAUGUAUGCUAAAUGUUUAUCUUUUAUUUUGCUGAUUAAAUGCAUUGUAAGCACCUCUGUGUUGUAACUGGCAUUGAUGCAAAAGCCUAUAGUAAUGUAAUGCUUAAAAUGAAAUAAUGGACCUGGGGACGUUGUUUUGAUUCAGUGCAGUAACCUGAAAGCUAUUUUGAGUCUUUUCUGUAUGGCUUCACUGUUUGCUAUUAAAAAAUAAAUAAACCUACAUUUGUGAUAA
Long non-coding RNA from Gadus morhua (Atlantic cod), 1916 nucleotides. RefSeq lists it as uncharacterized. The record is from RefSeq and is a predicted model, not a curated record. The transcript has 2 exons. NCBI's taxonomy places the organism in Eukaryota, Metazoa, Chordata, Actinopteri, Gadiformes, Gadidae.